AUAAUGAGUCCACUAGUUUAAUAAUCAUUGGAGGCCCAAAGGCCUGGUGCUUAUUGACUAAUGGAAUUAUCAUUCAUAAUAUGAUAAUUUGAUUUGAGUCUUUCUGAUGGUGGUCAGGUUGGCCGGCCAAAGUCGGGCCUGAUCAUUUAUUGGUCCGAUUCACCAAAUCAAAUCAUGUUAAUGGUUGGACCUAACUAGAUCUUUUCAG
Molecule: long non-coding RNA, 208 nt
Filed under: Elaeis guineensis (African oil palm)
Lineage: Eukaryota; Viridiplantae; Streptophyta; Magnoliopsida; Arecales; Arecaceae
Description: long non-coding RNA (EGUI_LNC080748)
Source: RNAcentral